CCUACGGGCGGCAGCAGUGAGGAAUAUUGGUCAAUGGGCGAGAGCCUGAACCAGCCAAGUCGCGUGAAGGAUGACGGCCCUACGGGUUGUAAACUUCUUUUGGCAGGGAGCAAUUGGGUCCACGCGUGGGCUUUGCGAUAGUAACUAAAGAAAAAGCAUCGGCUAACUCCGUGCCAGCAGCCGCGGUAAUCCGGAGGAUGCGAGCGUUAUCCGGAUUUAUUGGGUUUAAAGGGUGCGCAGGCGGUCGGUUAAGGCAGCGGGAAAAGCCCGGGGUUCAACCCGGGCUCGCCGUUGAAACUGGAAGUCUUGAGUGGGAGAGAAGAAUGCGGAAUGCGGGGUGUAGCGGUGAAAUGCAUAGAUAUCGCGCAGAACUCCGAUUGCGAAGGCAGCAUGCCGGCUCCAAACUGACGCUGAGGCGCGAAAGCGUGGGUAUCGAACAGGAUUAGAUACCCGGGUAGUC
Molecule: ribosomal RNA, 460 nt
Filed under: uncultured bacterium
Lineage: Bacteria
Description: partial 16S ribosomal RNA
Rfam family: Bacterial small subunit ribosomal RNA
Source: RNAcentral